Molecule: long non-coding RNA, 1374 nt
Filed under: Echeneis naucrates (live sharksucker)
Lineage: Eukaryota; Metazoa; Chordata; Actinopteri; Carangiformes; Echeneidae
Description: lncRNA (ENSENLG00000002174.1)
Source: RNAcentral
AUGGCCAACGCAUUUUAUUCCCUCUAUUCCCAUGUGUCGCGUACCCCUGUUCAGAAACUGGCCACACCAGAAUUUACCUUCUCGUCUCCGGUGGAGAGGAUUGAACGCUUUAGGAGCAGUGUACGCAGUGAGCCACGUUCUCCAGUGGAGAGACUGAAGGACACAGUGUCCAAAAUGUGUCUCUAUACAGGCUCUCCUCGUGGGUCAGACUCCACCUCUCCGCAGACCUCACCCAGGAAAAGGUCCAGCCUCCCCGAUGUUGUGGAUUCAGUCCUCGUCAAAAUCAAGAGUGAGGUGUCCAAAAGACUGGAUAUGGGGGAAUUUACCCGGAGUAAUUCAGCACUGGAUGUUAGUCUAGUUGUGGAUGACAAUAAAUCCUGUCUCAGUGGGAAAGAAAAACAGACACAGCGGACCAUGGAAGGUACAGAGAGUCUUCAAAAUGGAAAUAAGCUCUGUCAUAAUGUGAAUCGGAGCAAUAAACAAACAAUUAGUGAUGAUGCUAAUGAAAACAGCGUCCAAGCAGCAGACCUUGACAGAAGGACUCAUAGUAUGAGAUCAUCUCUGGCCUCAACAUUUUCAGGAGAGACUGUGAUCGAAAUAGAUCAUCACUUUUUUUCAGCUCAGGUUGAGCAGGAGUCAAAGUCUCCUGUAAGUGGCACAGCGACAGCUGGGCUGAAGCCUGUUGCCAAGGUUAUAUAUGAUCGCAUCUGUCCGCUGAUAGUUGAAAGUGUACACCAGGCGCCUUUUGGCUGUCAACACACGCACAAUCCAAAAACAAACACUGCAGCACUUAUCUGCUCUGAUACAGAAAGCACAGACACAUCAUGUCUUGUAUCACAUAAGCCCUGCGGACAAAGCCAUACCUCUGUGCCUUAUAUUGCCUCUUCAGGGGAGGACAGGAUGGCAGAUACGUCCAGAUCACUUCCUGUGCUGGACUGUUCCAAUUACUGCAUUACUGUGACUGGCUGGGAUGGGGACCAUGCAUAUUCCGAUUCCUCGAACGCACCAGAUUCCAGGCAUUCUUCAACGGUCUCUCCUGUCCAGACAUGUGAGGAGUUAUUGGAGGUGGAGAAAAGCCGGUACCUGAAUCCACCAAUACACCAAAUUUCCAAUAACCUGAAGCCGCUUAACUCCUUUGAGCUCGAGGAGGUGCAGAGUGCAGGAGAGGAGGAGUGUGCGCAGCCAGAUGCUACAUUGUGCACAAAACAUCAGCACAAAGGUGAAGUUGUUCGAGGUGACAGUGUGCAGUCAGACAGCAGCGGCUACGCGGAGGAAGAAGUCAGUCCCUCAUCAGACAGGGGAAAUAAACGAAAACACAGAGCAGCACAUACAGUUUCUAAGACUUUGGAAAGUUUGGAAAGUGUGUCCAAGUGA